AUGAGUAAAUUACUUGUCAUAGCCCUCCUGCUGCUGCCUCUGAUCAACAAUGGAAUCUACUUGGCCAUGGCAUGGGAUGAUCAAGAUUUCUUCAAAUACUGCCCACCUUCCAAGUGCAGCCAACAUGGCCCAGAGGUCAGGUUUCCUUUCUGCCUUGAAUCCAGCAAUACAUCAGCAGCAGCAGCAGCAUCAUGUGGAUGUAGCGGCACCGGCGGAUUAACCAGGAUGUUAGCAUGCUCUGGUCAAGACACCAUCCUAGUUCACCCAGUUCUUGGCUCAUACAGUGUCAGUGCCAUAGAUUACAGACAUUCUUCGGUGAAGCUCAUCCCACUUGUAGACCCCUGUUUGGUGCUACAGCAGAACCUCGUCAUCUCCAGAAACUGGUCGUCUCGACAAGUUGAUGUUAUCGACGGCAUGCAGCUGCCUGAUCGUGAUCGGCAAUUCUCAAUUUGGUCAUAUAGCAAUGCAAACCUGGUAUGCUGUUCAAGUGAGUUCACACCUGCUGCUGCACAUGCCGAUAGCAUCGCAGGCCCAGUCUCCUGCCUUAGCAACACAACCCACUUCUUUUAUUUGGUGGAUGGUUAUGAAGGCAUGUCCAUUCUUCCAUUGGACUGCAAGGUUUUCCCAGUCUCAGAUGGCAUCGGUGGCCGCCUGAUACCCAUGUAUAAAUUUGGGGAACGGAUAUCAGACACAUUCUUGUCAUCGUCCUUUAAGGAAAGCGCAGAAAGAAUGCUCAGUUUUGCUGAGAUGACAGUGUAUUGGUACUAUUAUUUGCAUUGCAUGCUAUGUGAACUCAGUGGGCAACGCUGCGCGUUCAGCUCACAAAGGAAUGAACAAUUCUGCAUGCCUGACCCUCAUGGUUCACGUAUCAAAGUCAUUGCAGCUACAUCAUCGGUGGCCGCAUUUGUCGUUCUUUUGGUGACGGUGGCCACUGUGCUUUAUUUUUCACUCAAGACAAGAUAUAAUGCGGAGAUACACAUGAGGGUCGAAAUGUUUCUCAAGACAUAUGGAGCAUCGAAACCCACGAGGUACACUUUCUCUGAAGUUAAGAAGAUGGCAAGACGGUUUAAGGAAAAAGUAGGGCAGGGAGGAUUUGGGACUGUAUACAAAGGCGAGCUGCCAAAUGGAGUGCCCGUGGCAGUCAAGAUGCUAGAGAACUCUACAGGAGAGGGAGAAGCAUUCAUCAAUGAAGUUGCAACCAUCGGACUUAUCCAUCAUGCCAAUAUUGUCCAACUCCUCGGAUUUUGUUCCGAAGGAAUGAGACGGGCUCUUAUUUAUGAAUUCAUGCCUAAUGAGUCAUUGGAGAAAUACAUAUUCUCUGAUGACCCUAAUAUUUUUCAGAAUCCUUCUAGUACCAGAGAAGCUCCUAGAUAUUGCUUUAGGCAUCGCCCGAGGAAUGGAAUACUUGCAUCAAGGGUGCAACCAGCGCAUCCUCCACUUUGACAUUAAGCCUCACAAUAUCCUGCUGGACUACAACUUCAAUCCAAAGAUCUCAGACUUUGGCCUGGCGAAGUUGUGUGCAAGGGACCAAAGCAUCGUCACCUUAACAGCGGCAAGAGGCACAAUGGGCUACAUUGCACCAGAGCUAUAUUCUCGGAACUUUGGGGGAGUAUCGUACAAGUCAGACGUGUACAGUUUCGGCAUGCUGGUGCUAGAAAUGGUGAGCGGGAGGAGGAAUUCAGACCCAAGAAUCGGGAGCCAGGACGAUGUUUACCUCCCUGAGUGGAUCUACGAGAAAGUGAUCAAUGGGGAGGAGUUGGCGCUUACUUUGGAAGCGACUGAAGAAGAGAAAGAAAAGGUGAGGCAGCUGGCUAAUGUCGCACUGUGGUGUAUCCAGUGGAACCCAAGAAACCGGCCGUCGAUGACGAAGGUCGUUAACAUGCUAACUGGGAGGCUUCAGAGUCUGCAGAUGCCACCAAAGCCUUUCGUCUCAUCUGAGAAUGAACUUAUGCCAUAAUUUAAAACAGAGACUACCAUACUCUGUCAGCAUUCAAGGUUGUACUUUGUCUACAUGUGUGAUGCAACCAUA
Molecule: RNA transcript, 2029 nt
Organism: Triticum aestivum (bread wheat)
Lineage: Eukaryota; Viridiplantae; Streptophyta; Magnoliopsida; Poales; Poaceae
Gene name: rust resistance kinase Lr10-like
Exons: 3
Source: RefSeq, a predicted model, not a curated record